GACGGAGGGCACAAGCGUUGUUCGGAAUUACUGGGCGUAAAGCGCGGGCAGGUGGUCUGUUAAGUCGUUUGUGAAAAUCCGGGGCUCAACCCCGUGAAAUGCGUACGAUACUGGCAGGCUGGAGAUCGGUAGAGGCUAGCGGAAUUCCUGGUGUAGCGGUGGAAUGCGUAGAGAUCAGGAAGAACACCCGUGGCGAAGGCGGCUAGCUGGGCCGAGUCUGACACUCAUCCGCGAAAGCGUGGGGAGCAAACAGG
RNAcentral lists this ribosomal RNA (254 nucleotides) under uncultured bacterium. RNAcentral describes it as "partial 16S ribosomal RNA". It matches the Rfam family "Bacterial small subunit ribosomal RNA", at positions 524 to 776 of the family's 1533-position model. The record is from RNAcentral.